UCUGUUUCGCCUGAAAUCCAUCUUUAGUCUAGGCCUGCUUCUUCAUUCUUGUUAACUAUGGCGAUUUGGUGGUUCAAGAAAAAAAGAAUUGUGCAUCCAAUUCAGGAAGAUUUCUUCAGUGAAGAGGACUGGAACAGAUUCCGAAGAAUGAUUCUGAGGCGCACCAUUAACAACAGAAGACGUACCACGUCGCGCAGAAUCAAAGUCGAGCCGAAACUCUCCAGAUUUUGGCUUGAAUCCCGGGGACGAUUGCCACCAGUCCAACCUGUGCCGGUUGUUGAGUACAAAUUCUAUUCAAGGGCAGUGUGUUCAGGCCUGAGCUCCAUUUUUUGUGUAUGCUAUUCAUCUAUUGGAGGUUAAUUGCACACACUCUGCACCUUUUGAACCCCAAGUCCAUGUGAUGGUUAAGUGCUGCGAUUGUCAUAUUUGUUGUCAUGGGUGAAGUGGAAUCUGCCCUGCUUUAUAUGCCCGCUACAGUCUGAAGAAGGCUUUUGUUUUAGAUUGGAAGUUUGGUGCCUUGUGUGGGAUAUCUAGUUGAUAAUAUGGAUCAAGAAAUUGGCGAGGGACAAAGAAAACAAUAACAAGGGCAGGUGAAGGCUCCUCUCGCCAUUGCUGAGAAUGGGUGUACGUGAGUUGGUCUUUUGGACCCUCACUAGACUGAAAUAGGGUGAGUCCUUGUUUUAGUCCGAAAGGGAUGCAUGCUGAAACAGCCAUCUGCAUGAGACUACGGUCUAACCAAAAACGAAUAAGGCAACUUUCUUACAUGCAUUGCUGACAGGCUAAACUAGGAAAAUACACCAUAUAUUUUUCAGCACCCAUAGAUUGCAGUUCCCAGGUGCUAGUGGGUGAGCCAGUUAGAUUCUCACUGGUAUCUCUACUUACUUGAGGACCAUAUUUCUACUACCAAUAACUUGGUUGCUUCUACUGAAGGUCGACGACGGAGGUCUUUGAAAGACUUCUUCAAAAUAUCCAUUCUUCAAUCGCAGCUGGGGUGGGUGAUACCUAAUUCAUGUCAUAUUUUAUACCUGAGCAGUGCUCUUUCAUUGGACUUGAUCCUCUUUUGCCCCUAACACAUUCCGAAGAUAGAAAACUAGCUACAUUUCAGUUGAUUAGGUCUGAACCAAUGCCCUUCUUUGGAAUAUCUGGGAUUCUGAAAAGUUUUGAAGGAACUAUCACUGAUUCAGUUCGUCUUUUCAAACCAAAAUAUGAAGGCUUGUUUCAAAUUCUUCAAUCUUUAAUUCAACUCUUUAAGGUGACUUAGUGUGACUCAGUGGUAAGGUGACUUGUCUAUGAUCAAAAGUGAUGACUUGUCAUACUGAUCCUACCUAGAGAAAGAAAAACAUAGUUUUAACUCCGCCUGUGUUUGGAUUCUUCCAUUUCGCAGCCGGUCCCAAGCCCGGAGAAAGGAGGAGGGUUAAUUGUCUUUCAGAAGUCGGAUCUUCAUAAAUAUGAACCAUAUAAAACCUGUAAUAGUUGUGGUUCUCUGUCUCAAAUUCUCUCUUUCUUGUAGGUAACAGUUGUGGUAAUAGUUCUGAUUCUCUGUCUCGCUCUCUUGUCAGCAUAUCCACUUCUCUUCCUUUUCCUGUCAAAAUGUCCUUUUAUCCUAAAAUCUGUUCAAAAUGUCCUUUUAUCCUAAAAUCUGUUCAAAAUGAUAACAUUUUCUUGGCUUCUGCUUGUGUACAAUAAUGUUUGCUAUAUCUGCUCAUGACAUGUUUUUGAUUGCCUUUUCUAUUGAAUGCAUGUUAGGGUUGUUCAAUUCUGGAAACAGAAGAAACUUUCAACUUCAGUAGAGUUUUGAGAGUUGUGACUUUGAAGAAACCUUUGUUUCUUUUAAUUAUUGGCAAAGUCAUUUGAUAUAGAAUAUGACAUGAUGACUCUGUUUCAAAUAUCAAGUUGUCCACAUAAGAAGAAGAAUAUCCCCCAAACAUUAUUAUGAAAAAACUCAUCACACAGCGAAUUUCUUUUAUACUGGUGAAUACUUGGAGCAUGCUUUAUGUAUAAAAAUAUAAAUCCUGUACCAACUGUUUUGGCUGAGAAUUUCUUGUGCAGGUAUAUUUUUCUUCCACCAGCUCCUCUAAUUGACUAGUUUUGUAUACAGGUAAAUUUUGACUUGGGAGUACCUUGGGAGAUAGACAUGUCCAUAUCUUUUCUGAACGUAUGCUUCAUAUUCUUAUAUAUGUCACCGUGGAUUUUGGAAGUAAACUUAUGAUGUUGCUUAAUUGUGCUAAAGAUAUCCUAGUUGAUACCUUCCUUCUUUCCCUCAUUACGACAAUUUUACUUGGAAACAAUCUUGUUCUGCUUGUGUAUUGGCUUUCAAUUUCAUGGCUUGCUUGCGACAUGUUUGGUUUCAUAUUGUUCUUUGAAUGAGAUCUUUUUGAAGUGAAAAUAUAAGCAGAUUUGUGCUAUAACAUAUUUCUUGGAGUAAAUUUGAAUGAUUUUGAGUGAUGGAGAGCCUGAACUAAAAAUACAAGUAAAAAAUCCGCAGCUUUGGAGGGUCAAUCUAUUUUUGGGCUCAAAACCAAUCACUUGAAUUUGGCUGCAACUCCGAGAAAUCUUUUCAUUCCUUUUCUCUUCUAAUUUGUAUUCCUUAUCGCUAACUGCAUGAAGCAGCAAGUAUUGAUCACUAGUUAUCGCAUUCUGUGUAUCAGGAGUAAUGAGUUUUUUUUGUUCGGAGAUCAUCUCUGCUUUCUCAAGGAAUCCUCCGAUUUGUGUUUCAAGAUUUAAACAGAGUGUCGUUUUUAUAUUUUUUCUUAUCUCCUUUUUUGUCAUGCUAAUUUUUCUGGACCUGUUCCUUUCAGUCAGGGAUGCAACAACCUGAAUCUGAAAAAUAAUCAUGUGGCAGUUAUACUUUGAAUGCAGAGCCUUGAAACAACUAGUUGAAGAAACUGGAAACCACAGCAGCAGAGAUGUUAAUGAUCAAAUAGCAGAACUACAAAAACACUGAUGAGUAAAAAACAGUUGAAGAUUAUAAUGUAAAUGCUAAAAGAUAUGGUCUUAAUGGAACACUUGAAGAUUAAUAUGAAUAAGCUUAAACCUGGUGAAAAUCUAUGAGUAACCUCUAGUUUUCUUAGCAUAGUGUUAAGGGAAUAGUAAGAGGAUUCAUGAGUAAGUCUUUUACAUGCAAGGACUACAUAUUGUUUUUUACACACAACAGCAUGUUUUCCUUAUAUAUGCUGGUAAAUACUAUGGCUACUUCAUUAUCACUUUUCUAGCAUAACUUCUCGCUUUUCUGGAAGUCAUAUUGGAUAUCGACACUUCAAGGUAUCAUUACUUCUUUUAUCAAUAAACCACCGGUUCUGCAAAUGGAGAAUUCUCAAGGCUUCAAGAGAAGUUUACCACACUAAAAAGUAACCUUUUGGAAUGGAACUACUACUGCCAAAAUAAGUUCUUCAUUCCAGCAAAAAUGAUUUUAUUUCUCCUGUUUUUUCGCCCAUAGCAUGAACGUUUUCCUUGAUCCAUGGACUAAAUAAUGCAAGAUUAACAUAGAAUACUACCACUACCCUUCAUUGCACAAGAAGAUUUCUUUACUUCCAACAUUAUGUCAACUGCCAAUAACUCUUGCUUUAUCUGAAAGGUUUGGGUAAAUCUGACCUUGGAAUUUUCUGUUUUGACGUUUGCAGUUACUUUCCUCAAUGGGGUAAUGCAAGUCAUUAUCUUGGAGGAUGAGCAUAGGAGUAUAUUUAGUUGCAAAAAAUUACAUUCGCCUAUUCUGUUAUUCUAUAUUUUGCACUUGUAGCACACUUACUAGCAAGUACUGUGAAGUCUUCCAACUGGCUUAGAUCUAAUGUCGAUGCCAUCCAAAAAGAAUCAAAUAAAUUCUAUUUGUGUGCGUCUGUUGGCAUAUCCAUAUAAUCCACGUCAACUCUUUUAAUAAUUCAUUCCCCCCACCCCCUCCCCCCUCCCACUAUUUUCCUCUUUUUGUUUGAAAAUUUUCUAUAUGAUGAGACGAAUUGAUUUGUUUUUUAAAUAUGGCUUUGAAAAAUGUAAGUCUAUGACACCAUAUAUAUAAUAAUUGAAGUACUCAACCAAUUUGCACUUUUUUUUUUCUUUUUUUUUUUGUGUGUGUGAUUGGUAUCUUCUUUGAGUAACUUUUAGCAACUUAUAUUUUACUCCUUGUUUGUUUCUAUAUAUAGUUUCACUUUUACUUCCCAUAUAGUCUAUCACUUACAAAAAUUCUUCCAUCUCCAUCACACACUCCAUAUAUAUAUAUAUAACACUUAUUUCUUCUUUUCAUUGUCCUGAAAUGGCUUGUUGUGCCAUAUAUAUAUAUUUUUUUCAAUAUUUUUUUCUAGUGUUGAACUUAAAAAACAUUUGUUGAAGGUGCACCACAAGUAUCAUGUUACUUCGUAUUUGGAGACUCGUUAUUUGUUAAUGGAAAUAACAAUGACCUUAACACAACGGCAAAGGCUAAUUACGUACCUUAUGGGGUGGACUUCCCGGAUGGCCGUCCGACCUGCUGUUUCACCUACGGCCUUAACAUGGCUGACUUCCUAGGUCUUAAGUCUUAACUACUUAAUUAGCUUGUUUGUGAAACUUAAUUCUCAUUUCUAUAUAUGGAUUUCCCUAAUUAGUGUUUCUUUACUAGAUCGAUCGAUACUUAAUGUUUGAAGAGAAACAAAUAUGGAGUAUAUUCGUUUGUUAAGUGUUCCACAUUUGUACUUGAGAGAAUGGACAAUGAUUCGUAAUUAAUAAUGUGAUCUUGAACAUACAUUCCUCAUUCCACAGUGAGCUUUUGAGUUGAGUUAAAUCUAAGGUUUAGUUACUUAACAUGGUGUAUAUACAUCAGAGCCAAAUGUAUAUAUCUUUGUUAUCGUACAUUUGAGUCACAUGUUAUAUUGUUCAGAUACCAGAUCUAUGUUCAGUGAGGUUACCAUUGAUGUCUCACACAUUGUGAAUGAGGAGAAUGUUGUCUCUUCAUAUAAAGCUAGUCGAUCUUGGGCAUACGUACCUGAUGACCUAGAUUUUCUGGAUUGACUUGAUUUUUCUCCAUGUUUGCAGCGGAACUCCUGGGAUUUUUGAUCUCUACAUUCCUCCUUUGCAAAGACAGAAGGUAGUGAGAUCUUGGAUGGUGUAAAAUUAUGCAUCUGGUUCAGCUGGAAUUUGCUGUAACAGCGGAAGUCAUCUUGGUGAUCGCAUUUACUUGGGUAGGCAUUUGGAGAAUCAUCAAUCAACAGUUUCUCGUAAUAGCUAAUUUAGUGGGGAAUAAAAUUUCAGCUGAAAAGCACUUGAAUAAGUGCCUAUUCAUAGUUGGAAUAGGGAGCAAUGAUUACAUCAACAAUUACUUGUUGCCUGAAAUAUAUCCCUCAAGUCAUUUAUAUGCACCAAGCCAAUACGCAACUGCCUUGAUUGAUCAAUAUUCACGACAUCUAAGACUUUAUAUGAAGAUGGAGCAAGGAAAGUUGCCUUAUUUGGACUGGGGCCAAAUAGGCUGCAUUCCAGCAGAGCUACAAGUAGAUGUGUGAGCAACAAAUAAUGCAAUUCAACUAUUCAACAGCAAGCUAUAUUCUCUUGUUGAUGAUCUUAGUACCAACUUUCCAGAUGCAAACUUCACAUUUAUAAGCAUAUACAUCAUUUCAUCAUUCCUCGGUGUGUACUCAAACAUCAUUCUUUGACUUCUAACAUAAUUGGAUUGGCUAUUUUUGUUAGUCUUAUUUCAGAGUCCAUUAGUGUGUUGAAUCGUCCAUGCUGUAAUGUUUUGACAACGAUGUCUGAAGGACAAUGUGUUCCUGGAGAAACACCAUGCUUGCCCAGGAGGAUUUAUCCUAUGGAUAUCCAUCAUUUGGUCAAUAAGUUUUACUUGUGAUCUUCCCAUUUAGAAAGUUUUCGGAUUUUGUUUCUUAGAUUGAUUUAUUAAUUGUACACCUAUAACAUAUAUUCGAUGAGGGAAUUAUAGUCUCUACAUUUUA
Non-coding RNA from Solanum lycopersicum (tomato), 5906 nucleotides. NCBI's taxonomy places the organism in Eukaryota, Viridiplantae, Streptophyta, Magnoliopsida, Solanales, Solanaceae. The record is from RefSeq and is a predicted model, not a curated record.